UACGAGGGGUGCAAGCGUUGCUCGGAAUUAUUGGGCGUAAAGGGUAGGUAGGUGGUCUCAUUUGUCUGGGGUGAAAGCCUUGAGCUUAACUCAAGAAGUGCCCCGGAAACGGUGAGACUGGAGUCUUGGAGAGGGUCGUGGAAUUCCCGGUGUAGCGGUGAAAUGCGUAGAGAUCGGGAGGAACACCAGAGGCGAAGGCGGCGACCUGGACAAGCACUGACACUCAACUACGAAAGCGUGGGGAGCAAACAGG
RNAcentral lists this ribosomal RNA (253 nucleotides) under uncultured bacterium. RNAcentral's name for it is "partial 16S ribosomal RNA". It matches the Rfam family "Bacterial small subunit ribosomal RNA", at positions 524 to 776 of the family's 1533-position model. The record is from RNAcentral.